GGGCCGGUAGCUCAGGGGUAGAGCAUCGGACUUUUAAUCCGAGUGUCGAGGGUUCGAAUCCCUCCCGGCUCA
RNAcentral lists this transfer RNA (72 nucleotides) under Chloroflexota bacterium. Its description in RNAcentral is "tRNA-Lys". It matches the Rfam family "tRNA". Rfam says of the family: Transfer RNA (tRNA) molecules are approximately 80 nucleotides in length. Their secondary structure includes four short double-helical elements and three loops (D, anti-codon, and T loops). The record is from RNAcentral. RNAcentral also lists the same sequence under 1 other name. Lineage: Bacteria; Bacillati; Chloroflexota.